RNAcentral lists this ribosomal RNA (464 nucleotides) under Vreelandella stevensii. Its description in RNAcentral is "partial 16S ribosomal RNA". It matches the Rfam family "Bacterial small subunit ribosomal RNA", at positions 339 to 795 of the family's 1533-position model. Lineage: Bacteria; Pseudomonadati; Pseudomonadota; Gammaproteobacteria; Oceanospirillales; Halomonadaceae. The record is from RNAcentral.
CUACGGGAGGCAGCAGUGGGGAAUAUUGGACAAUGGGCGAAAGCCUGAUCCAGCCAUGCCGCGUGUGUGAAGAAGGCCUUCGGGUUGUAAAGCACUUUCAGUGGGGAAGAAAGCCUUGGGGCUAAUACCCUCGAGGAAGGACAUCACCCACAGAAGAAGCACCGGCUAACUCCGUGCCAGCAGCCGCGGUAAUACGGAGGGUGCGAGCGUUAAUCGGAAUUACUGGGCGUAAAGCGCGCGUAGGCGGUCUGAUAAGCCGGUUGUGAAAGCCCCGGGCUCAACCUGGGAACGGCAUCCGGAACUGUCAGGCUAGAGUGCAGGAGAGGAAGGUAGAAUUCCCGGUGUAGCGGUGAAAUGCGUAGAGAUCGGGAGGAAUACCAGUGGCGAAGGCGGCCUUCUGGACUGACACUGACGCUGAGGUGCGAAAGCGUGGGUAGCAAACAGGAUUAGAUACCCCGGUAGUC